This 1200-nucleotide ribosomal RNA is filed under the name metagenome. Its description in RNAcentral is "bacterial SSU rRNA". It matches the Rfam family "Bacterial small subunit ribosomal RNA", at positions 316 to 1520 of the family's 1533-position model. The record is from RNAcentral.
GGACUGAGACACAGCCCAGACUCCUACGGGAGGCAGCAGUGGGGAAUAUUGCGCAAUGGGCGAAAGCCUGACGCAGCGACGCCGCGUGGGGGAUUACGGCCUUCGGGUUGUAAACCUCUUUCAGCAGGGACGAAGUUGACGUGUACCUGCAGGAGAAGCGCCGGCUAACUACGUGCCAGCAGCCGCGGUAAUACGUAGGGCGCAAGCGUUGUCCGGAAUUAUUGGGCGUAAAGAGCUCGUAGGUGGCUUGUCACGUCGGGUGUGAAAGCUUGGGGCUUAACUCCAGGUCUGCAUUCGAUACGGGCUGGCUAGAGGUAGGUAGGGGAGAACGGAAUUCCUGGUGUAGCGGUGAAAUGCGCAGAUGUCAGGAGGAACACCGGUGGCGAAGGCGGUUCUCUGGGCCUUACCUGACGCUGAGGAGCGAAAGCGUGGGGAGCGAACAGGAUUAGAUACCCUGGUAGUCCACGCUGUAAACGUUGGGCGCUAGGUGUGGGGACCUUCCACGGUUUCCGCGCCGUAGCUAACGCAUUAAGCGCCCCGCCUGGGGAGUACGGCCGCAAGGCUAAAACUCAAAGGAAUUGACGGGGGCCCGCACAAGCGGCGGAGCAUGUUGCUUAAUUCGACGCAACGCGAAGAACCUUACCAAGGCUUGACAUUGCCCGGAAACACUCAGAGAUGGGUGCCUCUUCGGAUCGGGUGACAGGUGGUGCAUGGCUGUCGUCAGCUCGUGUCGUGAGAUGUUGGGUUAAGUCCCGCAACGAGCGCAACCCUUGUUCAAUGUUGCCAGCAACACCCUUUGGGGUGGUUGGGGACUCAUUGGAGACUGCCGGGGUCAACUCGGAGGAAGGUGGGGAUGACGUCAAGUCAUCAUGCCCCUUAUGUCUUGGGCUGCAAACAUGCUACAAUGGCCGGUACAGAGGGCUGCGAUACCGCAAGGUGGAGCGAAUCCCUAGAAGCCGGUCUCAGUUCGGAUUGGGGUCUGCAACUCGACCCCAUGAAGUCGGAGUCGCUAGUAAUCGCAGAUCAGCAACGCUGCGGUGAAUACGUUCCCGGGCCUUGUACACACCGCCCGUCACGUCACGAAAGUCGGCAACACCCGAAGCCCGUGGCCCAACCAGCUUGCUGGGGGGAGCGGUCGAAGGUGGGGCUGGCGAUUGGGACGAAGUCGGAACAAGGUAGCCGUACCGGAAGGUGCGGCUG